Molecule: long non-coding RNA, 269 nt
Filed under: Rattus norvegicus (Norway rat)
Lineage: Eukaryota; Metazoa; Chordata; Mammalia; Rodentia; Muridae
Description: long non-coding RNA NONRATT026208
Source: RNAcentral
UGUGACACUGAGUGGGACAUCUGACACUCAUGCCCUUGGUGGCUCAGCCCUGAGUAAGAGAGAGACCUCUCGACUGGACAAGUUCAAACAGCUGCUUGCUGGCCCCAACACAGACCUUGAGGAAUUACGGAAGCUGAGCUGGUCCGGAAUCCCAAAGCCAGUUCGUCCAAUGACAUGGAAACUUCUCUCAGGUUACCUUCCUGCCAAUGUUGACCGAAGACCAGCCACGCUGCAGAGGAAACAGAAGGAAUACUUUGCUUUCAUUGAGC